AGCGAACGCUGGCGGCGGGCUUAACACAUGCAAGUCGAACGCCCCGCAAGGGGAGUGGCAGACGGGUGAGUAACACGUGGGAACGUACCCUUUGGUUCGGAAUAACUUGGGGAAACUCAAGCUAAUACCGGAUAAGCCCUUAUGGGGAAAGGUUUACUGCCGAGGGAUCGGCCCGCGUCUGAUUAGCUAGUUGGUGAGGUAAUGGCUCACCAAGGCGACGAUCAGUAGCUGGUCUGAGAGGAUGAUCAGCCACACUGGGACUGAGACACGGCCCAGACUCCUACGGGAGGCAGCAGUGGGGAAUUUUUCGCAAUGGGGGCAACCCUGACGAAGCAACGCCGCGUGGGUGAUGAAGUCUCUUGGGACGUAAAACCCUUUCGACGGGGAAGAAACCGCAAGGUUGACGGUACCCGUAGAAGAAGCCCCGGCUAACUCCGUGCCAGCCGCCGCCGUAA
Molecule: ribosomal RNA, 455 nt
Filed under: uncultured bacterium
Lineage: Bacteria
Description: partial 16S ribosomal RNA
Rfam family: Bacterial small subunit ribosomal RNA
Source: RNAcentral